GAGUUUGAUCCUGGCUCAGGACGAACGCUGGCGGCACGCCUAACACAUGCAAGUCGAACGGUGAAGGGGGAGCUUGCUCCUCCGGAACAGUGGCGGACGGGUGAGUAACACGUGAGCAACCUGCCUUUCAGAGGGGGACAACAGUUGGAAACGACUGCUAAUACCGCAUAAUGUAUUUUGGCGGCAUCGCCGGAAUACCAAAGGAGCAAUCCGCUGAAAGAUGGGCUCGCGUCUGAUUAGAUAGUUGGUGAGGUAACGGCUCACCAAGUCGACGAUCAGUAGCCGGACUGAGAGGUUGAACGGCCACAUUGGGACUGAGACACGGCCCAGACUCCUACGGGAGGCAGCAGUGGGGGAUAUUGGACAAUGGGGGAAACCCUGAUCCAGCGAUGCCGCGUGAGGGAAGAAGGUUUUCGGAUUGUAAACCUCUGUGGAGGGGGGCGAUAAUGACGGUACCCCUUUAGGAAGCCACGGCUAACUACGUGCCAGCAGCCGCGGUAAUACGUAGGUGGCGAGCGUUGUCCGGAAUUACUGGGUGUAAAGGGAGUGUAGGCGGGAAAGCAAGUC
Molecule: ribosomal RNA, 567 nt
Filed under: uncultured bacterium
Lineage: Bacteria
Description: bacterial SSU rRNA
Rfam family: Bacterial small subunit ribosomal RNA
Source: RNAcentral